UAUAUUGCGGCGAUUUGUAACAAGCACUAUUGUCUCUAUUAUCUCAUAACUCUUUUAUUUUCAGACAUUUAUUUUUGCACGUAUCGUACGCGCGCGCAUUUCCGUUACAGCGACUGUGCUUAUUCAACAGGUUUACAACAAGGAGUAGUAGAAAUCGCUCUCGAGAGUCCCCACGCUUAUGUUUCAUAAAUGGAGCAGAAAAAUUAUUCUUCGUACGCCGGUGCUCCUAUCGAUAUGAAGAGGUACGAUAACAUUGGCGGCGAGACGAUAGCAUCCCGUGCGAGGAUCGAUGCUGGUAUCGAUAAAAUUAAAGACAAGACAACAAAUUAACGGUGGAACGUUAUGUCAUCGAAAUAAAUUAACAGCCACCUUCUGGUUAAGGCUGCAUCAGAUAUUAUGGUGAGCGUUGCGCGAUCGCAGAUAUCUAAAAUUAGGUACGCGAGCAUUAAUAUGUAUUAUUGCGACUUAAGCUGUCGGGAGUCCUUGAUAUCAGUGACUAAACAUCUCGCCUACCUUAUAACGUUGCGUUAUGACUCCACAAUGCUGCACGCGUUAAUCACCAUUGCCAUUUCUCUACGUCAUCAUUCUUGCAACUCCGUUCUCCGCGAAUACGUUAUCUGCAAUUAUUAUCUGCAAAUAUUUCCGUUUGUAACUAUCUCUUAGACUCGUCGGGCUGAUCUGCGAUGUACGUGAGGUUCUUCGAUUUUCUGAGUUUCAGUGCAAUUUGCGUUCGAUAAAAUCCAAUUAUCUGACUUACGUAAUGAGCCAAUGAAUGUGGAUAACGCAUUUAACGCCCGGCGUUCGGGCGAUGUAUAAGCGUCGUCACAAAGUGUAUUUUCGAGCGCGAAACUUGCACGAUAUGGUCAUUGUACUGUAAUCUCUCAUUAGGAAGUCUGAAAUUAUCGCGCGAAUAAUGACAACGUGCAUGGUGACAAUCGGGAAAAUGCUGAAACUAAAGACAACAUAUUUUAUAAUGGGCGGACGGAAUAAAAUGAAUUAAACGCUACGCUGUAAAAGAAGCCUGUCAUUUUUAUUAGCACACAUAAAGCAAAAGAAAUGUAUAUUUCUAUUCGUAUACAUACGAAUUUGUAAAGAUAAACAUCACCAACAAUUCCAAUCGAAUGCGAUUGAUCGAACUUUCGAGUUUUUAAAAAACCUUUGUUUUUAAAAAUUUACGUCCUUUUUGCACUACGUGGUAAUAAAAAUGACAGUUUUUUUUUUCUUGUAGGAUAUUGCUUAAUUCAUUUCUCCUGGAUUCUGUCAAUUUAUUGCAAGACAUUAAUCAUUUAGUUUCUCCGUGCAGGACUGUGUAGGACUGUGAUUUUUUUUUAAUCAUCUAAGAAUAGAUAUUGUAUCAUAUGUGGUUUUAAAUCAUUAAACUGUUAUUUCGAGUCUCGUCAAUAUUUACCGCAUGUGUCAGGCGAUAUAUUACGCAGAUUCGAUCGUGGUGAGUAUCCUGGGCUCGGUGCGAUUAGCCAAACAGAGCCCUCGAACUCUUCUCUCGUUCGGCAGAAAAUUAGUUCGCCGAUCUGUUGCUCGAAAAUAUCGAUCGCGGUGCAAGCCUGAGACUGAAAUCUCACGAAGGUGCCAAAUUUCAUUUUUAUUCGCAUAUUUAACGAAAUGCCAAAAACUAGCCGCAAAGUUAGCGUCUAAAAAAAAA
Pogonomyrmex barbatus (red harvester ant) is the source of this 1660-nucleotide long non-coding RNA. The record is from RefSeq and is a predicted model, not a curated record. NCBI's taxonomy places the organism in Eukaryota, Metazoa, Arthropoda, Insecta, Hymenoptera, Formicidae.